RNAcentral lists this ribosomal RNA (231 nucleotides) under uncultured bacterium. RNAcentral's name for it is "partial 16S ribosomal RNA". It matches the Rfam family "Bacterial small subunit ribosomal RNA", at positions 118 to 336 of the family's 1533-position model. The record is from RNAcentral.
UGGGUAACCUGCCUCAAAGAGGGGAAUAGCCUCCCGAAAGGGAGAUUAAUACCGCAUAAUAUGUUUAAGUCGCAUGAUUUUAACAUCAAAGGAUUUUCUUAGGAAAUUCCACUUUGAGAUGGACCCCGCGGCGCAUUAGCUAGUUGGUGAGGUAACGGCUCACCAAGGCAACGAUGCGUAGCCGACCUGAGAGGGUGAUCGGCCACAUUGGAACUGAGACUCGGUCCAGCU